This 1104-nucleotide long non-coding RNA is filed under the name Equus caballus (horse). RNAcentral's name for it is "lncRNA (ENSECAG00000049586.1)". The record is from RNAcentral. Lineage: Eukaryota; Metazoa; Chordata; Mammalia; Perissodactyla; Equidae.
GUGUCUCAGUCCUACCAUGUCCUGUGAUUAAUGUUAAUGGAAAACUACAACCUAGUUCAGGUAAGACUGCUAAUGGCUCAGAUGUGUCAGGACUAUUUGAGUCAUCCCGCCAGACAAGCACUACAACCAGCUAAAGUGUUUGCUAAGGGCAAAGUGGAUAUGAAAUGUGCAGUGAAAGAAGGUAGUUAUAAAUACCAGCAAUGAUCACAUGACCAGUUGUAGGAAUGUGGACAGUAAUAGUAUGAGUAAUUCUUCCUUAUUUGGUUAUGAACAUUUGUAGAUAUAUAACCAAAUAUUAUUUCCUUUCCUCUCUUAUCCCCUAUUGUCUAACUUUAGAUGUAUUAAUAAUAGUUAACUUCAUAUCACAGUGUUUGAAUUACAGAAUACAAAGGAAGAGUGAACCUCACCCAAAGACUCUAUAUCCUUUCCUGGGGAAAGAGCAUAUUUUCCGUUGUACGCGGGUUAAUGUUUCAUGUCAGGUGGAAGUAUGACUUUGUUAUUGUCUUUAUUUGAAGAGUAAGUGUGAUUUAAGGAACUGUGUGUGGGUGCCAAGUUGAUAAGGGGUGACCUGUUAUGGUCAGUUUUAUGCAUCAACUUGGCUGGACUACAGUUACUUAAUCAAACACUAGGUGUUGCUGUGAAGAUAUUUUGUAGAUGCAACCAAAAUCCAUAUCAGUUAACUUUAAGUAAGGGAGAUUAGCCUAGUUAAUCUGGAUGGGCCUGAUUUAAUCAGUUGAAAGGCCUUAAGAGUGGAGCUGAGGUUUCCCUGAAGAAGAAAAAAUUCUGCCUGCAGAUGGCAGUUUCAGCUCAUGCCCGAGAAUGUUAGCCUGCCCUUCCUGAUUUCAGAUUAUCUGGACAGUCCACAAUCACGCCUCUGACUAGACCAGUUACCCCAGGAGUAUGAUUAUUCUUCUGUUCAACAACUUCUCCUUCCACAUGAAGUGGAUGACCAAAUGCAAUGCCUGAAGUCCCACCCAUUAAGAAAAAUGUCCCUUGCCAGUGCCUUUCAAAGCCAGCCCUGUGUGAAGCUGCUGUGUAACGCUGCUGCUUUCCAUUUCAGUUUGCACCCACAUAGAGAGCCAACAAACUGUAAGCCAAGCUCCG